CCUACGGGCGGCAGCAGUGAGGAAUAUUGGUCAAUGGACGAGAGUCUGAACCAGCCAAGUAGCGUGAAGGAUGACUGCCCUAUGGGUUGUAAACUUCUUUUAUAUGGGAAUAAAAUGAUCCACGUGUGGGAUUUUGUAUGUACCAUAUGAAUAAGGAACGGCUAACUCCGUGCCAGCAGCCGCGGUAAUACGGAGGAUCCGAGCGUUAUCCGGAUUUAUUGGGUUUAAAGGGAGCGUAGGUGGAUUGUUAAGUCAGUUGUGAAAGUUUGCGGCUCAAACGUAAAAUUGCAGUUGAAACUGGCAGUCUUGAGUACAGUAGAGGUGGGCGGAAUUCGUGGUGUAGCGGUGAAAUGCUUAGAUAUCACGAAGAACUCCGAUUGCGAAGGCAGUUCACUGGACUGCAACUGACACUGAGGCUCGAAAGUGUGGGUAUCAAACAGGAUUAGAUACCCCUGUAGUC
This 460-nucleotide ribosomal RNA is filed under the name uncultured bacterium. RNAcentral describes it as "partial 16S ribosomal RNA". It matches the Rfam family "Bacterial small subunit ribosomal RNA", at positions 338 to 795 of the family's 1533-position model. The record is from RNAcentral.